Molecule: ribosomal RNA, 464 nt
Filed under: uncultured bacterium
Lineage: Bacteria
Description: bacterial SSU rRNA
Rfam family: Bacterial small subunit ribosomal RNA
Source: RNAcentral
CCUACGGGUGGCAGCAGUGGGGAAUAUUGCACAAUGGGCGCAAGCCUGAUGCAGCCAUGCCGCGUGUAUGAAGAAGGCCUUCGGGUUGUAAAGUACUUUUAUCAGGAACGAAAUACCACGGGUUAAUACCCUAUGGGGCUGACGGUACCUGAGGAAUAAGCACCGGCUAACUUCGUGCCAGCAGCCGCGGUAAUACGAAGGGUGCAAGCGUUAUCGGAAUUACUGGGCGUAAAGCGUGCGUAGGCGGUUUGUUAAGUCUGCUGUGAAAGCCCUGGGCUCAACCUGGGAAUGGCAGUGGAAACUGGCGAGCUAGAGUGUGAUAGAGGAUGGUGGAAUUCCCGGUGUAGCGGUGAAAUGCGUAGAGAUCGGGAGGAACAUCUGUGGCGAAGGCGGCCAUCUGGAUCGACACUGACGCUGAGGCACGAAAGCGUGGGGAGCAAACAGGAUUAGAUACCCGUGUAGUC